UGGGGAAUAUUGCACAAUGGGCGCAAGCCUGAUGCAGACAUGCCGCGUGUAUGAAGAAGGCCUUCGGGUUGUAAAGUACUUUCAGCGAGGAGGAAGGCGGUAAGGUUAAUAACCUUAUCGAUUGACGUUACUCGCAGAAGAAGCACCGGCUAACUCCGUGCCAGCAGCCGCGGUAAUACGGAGGGUGCAAGCGUUAAUCGGAAUUACUGGGCGUAAAGCGCACGCAGGCGGUCUGUCAAGUCGGAUGUGAAAUCCCCGGGCUCAACCUGGGAACUGCAUUCGAAACUGGCAGGCUAGAGUCUUGUAGAGGGGGGUAGAAUUCCAGGUGUAGCGGUGAAAUGCGUAGAGAUCUGGAGGAAUACCGGUGGCGAAGGCGGCCCCCUGGACAAAGACUGACGCUCAGGUGCGAAAGCGUGGGGAGCAAACA
This 427-nucleotide ribosomal RNA is filed under the name uncultured bacterium. RNAcentral describes it as "partial 16S ribosomal RNA". It matches the Rfam family "Bacterial small subunit ribosomal RNA", at positions 355 to 774 of the family's 1533-position model. The record is from RNAcentral.